AAAACUUUAAGUUAAAUAAUUUAAACUAAUAAUUUUCAAAAUUAUAUAUAAAAUAAUAAAUUUUUAAGUUUUA
This 73-nucleotide transfer RNA is filed under the name Plectrocnemia sp. 1 YW-2021a. RNAcentral describes it as "tRNA-Trp". Lineage: Eukaryota; Metazoa; Arthropoda; Insecta; Trichoptera; Polycentropodidae. The record is from RNAcentral.